GUGCUCGAAAGAGAACCUGCACACAGGUGCUGCAUGGCUGUCGUCAGCUCGUGUCGUGAGAUGUUGGGUUAAGUCCCGCAACGAGCGCAACCCUUGCCAUUAGUUGCUACGAAAGGGGCACUCUAAUGGGGACUGCCGGUGACAAACCGGAGGAAGGUGGGGAUGACGUCAAGUCCUCAUGGCCCUUAUAGGUGGGGCUACACACGUCAUACAAUGGCCGGUACAGAGGGUAGCCAACCCGCGAGGGGGAGCCAAUCCCACAAAGCCGGUCGUAGUCCGGAUCGCAGUCUGCAACUCGACUGCGUGAAGUCGGAAUCGCUAGUAAUCGCGGAUCAGCAUGUCGCGGUGAAUACGUUCCCGGGUCUU
This 366-nucleotide ribosomal RNA is filed under the name uncultured Allobrachymonas sp. RNAcentral describes it as "bacterial SSU rRNA". It matches the Rfam family "Bacterial small subunit ribosomal RNA", at positions 1014 to 1382 of the family's 1533-position model. The record is from RNAcentral. Lineage: Bacteria; Pseudomonadati; Pseudomonadota; Betaproteobacteria; Burkholderiales; Comamonadaceae.